GCAGAUUGCUUCCUUGCUGCACGUUUGUGAGCAAGUAAAUUGUUUUUGUUUCUUCCUCCUUUGUUCUCUGUUUUGUUCUUUUUCUAAGAGCUGCUGCCAUUGUUCUUUCUUUUUCUUUUUUCUUCCUGUUAACCGAGAGCUUAUGCUCUUGAUGCUUUGUGUUUCUGCUUGCUGUUUGAAGAGCUUAUGCUCUUAGUGUUUCAUUGUUUGGUUGCUGCUGCCAAAUGUUCCAACACAAGCUCGUAGUUCAUGUUCAAAAGAAAGAAAAGAGGAAUAAAAAUUAUGGACAAGUUUUUAUGAUGCGUGUGGCCCGAAUGUUUGAAAAACAAGUAAAGAAGGUAGAGUUAUUGAAGCACCUUUCUCUUUAACUAGUUGAUGUACUUGAACCUCUUUUCUUGCUUUAAUAUAUUCCAUAACAUGUAGAAGGUCUAGUGAAUCAAAAGUCAUACAAUUUCACAAAGCUGACUCAUGAAUUAUUGUUUUUUAAGGGACCCCAUUAAAUAGAUCUCAUAAAUUUAAAGGCAAGUAAAGGAAGAAAAUGGGAAGAAUAUGGCCUAAGGAAUCUAGAAAAAGAAGAGAAACAAAAGGAACUAGUCAACAUCCAACUAAAGAAUAAUGGAAAAUUUCUUCAGAUGUAAUAUUACGUCAAGGCACAGUCCCACAGUUGUGAAAAUGAUGUUAGCAAUAUGUCACAAAUUAAACUUUAAAUUAUCCUUAUCAUCUGGUCUUUUUUACCGUAAGAAAAAAAACAAGCAUGAAACACCUCAUGUUCAAAUGACAGUAGAAUGUUUUUCCAGCAUAAGCAUCAGUGGGUGAAAGAUACACAAGUUUGAUAAAGACCUGCCUCUAGAAACCAUGUUGUACCCUUCAAGCGAGAUAAAGGUAAGUAUUGC
This 893-nucleotide long non-coding RNA is filed under the name Gossypium barbadense (sea-island cotton). Its description in RNAcentral is "long non-coding RNA (GBAR_LNC012300)". The record is from RNAcentral. Lineage: Eukaryota; Viridiplantae; Streptophyta; Magnoliopsida; Malvales; Malvaceae.